This 13268-nucleotide long non-coding RNA is filed under the name Glycine max (soybean). Its description in RNAcentral is "long non-coding RNA (GMAX_LNC004033)". The record is from RNAcentral. Lineage: Eukaryota; Viridiplantae; Streptophyta; Magnoliopsida; Fabales; Fabaceae.
AACGAGAAAAAUGGUCCAUGCGGCAAGUUUAGCACACUUAGAAUUUUGACGCAUAAACUGCGUCACUGCGAAAAGGCUGCACGAAAUGCAUGGGCUCCUGUUUCUUCACAGUGCUGCAAUGACCUUGUAGAAGUAAGCAUCCCUUGCCUCUAUGCUGUUUUCUCCUCCGAUGCUUUCAAGAGAGUUGGUGUUGAUCCCAGAGUCGCAAUCACCAUUCCCCAUCGUUGCCAUUUCUCCAACAAGCCAUAGACCACAACUUACCUACCUAUCAUAAAUGCCAACAUAUUUUUCAGGUAUAUAUAUUGAGCAUAUCUAUCAAGAAUAAUUAUUUAUAUUUCAAAAACUUUAUCUAGAAGCUGAUAAAUUGUUAUAUUACUAUACUGAACUAAUUAAAUUAAACAUGUAUAUACUCAUCACAUUUUUUGGCUGGUAUAAAUUAUACCAUGUGCUCAUUGUUUUCUCUAAUGUAAUGCAGCUUGUAGAUGGCUGAGAACGUUGGCUAUGGUUACGCAACCUGAGGUUUUUACAAAUUCGUCAAAAGCUUCAGGAUACAGUAAUCUGUGUUGUGUAUUGUAUGUUUGUUGUCCGUUAAUAAUUUGAGCUUGUUAUCAAGGCUCACAAAUAAAUUACCUUGUAAUGUACAAUUUUAUUCUCUAUCAAAUAAAUUCACGUUUUCGUAAAAUAUAUCUUUUUGGUUGUUUCGAAUUUAAUUUUAUUUGGAUGGAUUGGUGUAUCUUAGAGAAUAUGAGUGUGUGAGUAAACUAUGGAAAAUCUUAAAAUUUAAUUUGUUUGCAAAUGAAUCUCGACCCUAUGUUUGUGUAAACAUUGGUCCGUUAGAUGUGUGCAUUAGAAGAACUAUUAUCGUAUAUUCUACAACAACUCAAACAUGUAUUACAUUCAUUUUCCACAACAACUCAAACAUAUAUGCACUACAUUGUUGGUUUGCGACUGUGCUGAGGACUUUCUGCAUUGAACUAUUCACCAUAUAGUUUCCUCGGCCUAGCUGCAUAAUCUUGUGCAUAUUAUCAUUCAGUGUAUAGAUAAUUUUUAGUUUUACUAUUAUUUGGUGGACUCUGCAAUGUUACAUGAGGUGCUAACUCUUAUUUCCUUACGGAUAAUGCUUUUAUAAUAGUAAUAUUUAAUACAUUUAUAAUUGUGCAAUGUGAAGAAGUAAUUUUUUCAUUAAUGUUGAGAUUAAUUAUUUAAAUUACUAAAAUGAUCGAGUUACUCAUUAUUCAUCCCGAGGCAUUAGGCAUUUCAUCAGCUCAACCUUGUUUCAAGUUUUUGAUUAAUUUCCUAGAGAUAAACAUAAAGUUUAAGCAGAAAAUGAUAUAUAUAAGAGGAUUCGCUUUUUCUAAGACAAAGCCGAAACUAGUUUUAAUUACGGCAUGGAGAAAAUAUGAAAGAAGAUAACAAAAUAGUCUUCCAUAAGUAGUCUGAAUUUUCACAAGCUAUGGAAGAAAAAAAAUUACUAUUAUAAAAGCAUUAUCCGUAAGGAAAUAAGAGUUAGCACCUCAUUUAAGUCCUCAGUUAAAAUCAGUUUGCAUAGGUUGCAUUUAAAUGAGCUUUAUAUAUUCAACAAUAAACACGCCAGUUGAUGGACACUGGCCCGCAUUUUAGUUUUUUUUCUUUUUCAUAUUAAAAUUUUGACUUUUAAUGAGUUGGUCCAAAUAGUUUUUGUGAAUUGGCUCAAGAAACACCAGCGUAGCAAACCGAUGCUUGUAACGGGGAAGGGUCUUAGUGAUCAAGUAUACAAUUGCCCUUGAGUCUGAGUUACAAAUCAUAGCCAAGGUUCAAAGACAUCUUCAUAUGAUUGAUGCCAAGACACCCACCCACACAUACUUGUAUUGAUUUCCCACCCUUAUAAGUGCAAUAACAGUGGCCUCUAAAUAUCCACCAACUUCCUUCAACUUUCCGGCCGAGGUGAUAUAAGGAUGUUGGGUGGUGAAAGAUAAAAAGGAAGAGAAGGAAAGAUCACAUAAUUUGAUCCCUCCUACUAACAAACUAACAAUCAAUAUUUAUCGAUAAAAAAAAUCUUAAACUUUCCCGUAAUUUAUUAUCUAGAAAAAUCAUGUUAUGCAUACACGGUUAUAGAAUUCUCUUUAACAUUUUUCUUUUUGUAGUAUUAUGUCACAGAGAAAUUUGUAGCAACCUUUAACACGUGCUCUGCUAUUGUCGCUAACGCAAGUGAUCAAGAGCGUGGUCAAAAGGUCAAGGAAACUGUACGACAAACCAAUUCAAUUAAAUGUGAAUGAUGAACAAGAUCAGAUAUAGUUAAUUUUAUGCAGCUAGGCCAAGAACCCAUAUCGCGAACAUCUAUACAUAUAAAUUAUUGUCAUAAAACAACCAAAAGGAUAUUAUUCAGGAAGACAUAGAAGUUAUUUGAUAGAUAAUAAUAAAGUUGUUACAAUAUUAAUUGUAACUUAUUUAUGAUCCUUUAUAGUUAAGGAGCUCAAAUUAUUAACUGACAACAUACAAUACACAACACACACUACUGUAUCCUGAAGCUUUGACGAAUUGUAAAAACCUCAGGUUGCGUAACCAUAACCAACGUUCCCAGCCAUCUACAAGCUGCAAUUACAUUAGAGAAAACAAUGAAUCAGCAUAUGCUACUUUAUAACAGCCAAAAAUGUGAUGAGUAUAUACAUGUUUAAUUUAAUUAGUUCAGUAUAGAAAUAUAACAAUUUAGCAGCUUCUGGAUAAAGUUUUUGAAAUAUAAAUAAUUAUUCUUGAUAGAUAUGCUCAUAUAUAUACCUGAAAAAUAUGUUGGCAUUUAUGAUAGGUAGGUAAGUUGUGGUCUAUGGCUUGUUGGAGAAAUGGCAACGAUGGGGAAUGGUGAUUGCGACUCUGGGAUCAACACCAACUCUCUUGAAAGCAUCGGAGGAGAAAACAGCAUAGAGGCAAGGGAUGCUUACUUCUACAAGGUCAUUGCAGCACUGUGAAGAAACAGGAGCCCAUGCAUUUCGUGCAGCCUUUUCGCAGUGACGCAGUUUAUGCGUCAAAAUUCUAAGUGUGCUAAACUUGCCGCAUGGACCAUUUUUCUCGUUUUCAUGUUCAGGAUAACUGUGGUCGUAUUCAGCAACGGUCACAGUGAUCAAAAGCAGCAGGAACACACCAACGAACUUGCUCAUCUUAACUAAAUGAAUUUGAUUGAUGAUUUACUCUUUUUAAGUAGCUUCAAGCUUGAAAUACAACUCACAAAAUUUGCUUUGCACCAUGCUCUAUAUAUACUGCUAGAUUAGCAAGAUAAACUAGUAAACUAUGCACAAAACCUUGUUCACAAGCAUCUGGAUUUGGCAUUCUUUAAAUUGAUGGGAGAAGGUAGGGUUACAGCUUCAUGCCCGCAGAUUCUUACCGUAGAGAAGAAAGCAGGCCUGAGAAUAUUUUGAAUCAGGAAGCACUGCACAGCCUUGGUACGUAUUUGGUAUUACAAUAUCUUACUCAACAGCUUGUAUGUCUUACUUAUGGAGGCUUUCUCUUAUAUAUAUAUAUAAAGAAUCGAAAAAUAAAUACUUUUUCAACGAUGCUAUUUUGUGAAACGUCAUGCUAUACUUAGACGGUCCAUGGUUUAUUAAUAAUAUAAAUAAUGAAGGUGGCUCGGAGGUUGUCACAGAAGUCAAACUAGUCUUGAAAACUGAAAGUUUAUCUCAAAUGUGCUUGUUUGUUUAAGGAGGAUGUUUUUCAUAAGAGAAUUUCAUUAUUUAUAAAUUUAAUUCUGAGAUUUAUUUAAAUAAAUUUAUAACAAAUUAUACGAAGGUCACAAUAAAUCAAGAAAAAUAUUUAAUUGUAUGAAUUUAAAUGCAUAAAAAUAUAGACGAAAUCUGAUUGCUUGACCUUUUAAUACCAACACCCUUCUUUGCAUGUUUUGCAUCAAGAAUAAGAAUAAAGGUUUUAUGGCUGUAUAUUUAGAAAACAAGAAUCUAGUGUAGUUUAUGCAAACCAACAAUUGAUAUUACAGCGAAACUAUAUAUAUAUAUAUAGGGGUAACAAUCCCCUCAAUUUACUAAGUUACUUUGCAUAUAUACUUAAAAAUAAAUAUCUGGCCUUAAUUAUUAUUGGACCCUAAUUGUAAAUGACAAAGCCCACACCCCAUAGAACAAACACCCCAUGGAACAAAUUAUCCAUUGCUUUAUUUGUUUUAAUAAUUAUAUAUAUAUAUAUAUAUAUAUAUAUAUAUAUAUAUAUAUAUAUAUAUAUAUAUAUAUAUAUAUAUAACCAAAUAAUUUACUUUUUAAGUCCCUUAUCUUUACAAAAUACAAAUAUAAAAUUCAAGCUCCUUAAUCUUUAAUCUUAAUUUUCACUUUUACACGUUAGUCCUUUCUCUGUCAGUCACCUCUCCUUGUUGAUUCUUGUGCUCCUCAAUCCUCACGAUUGAAUCAAACUCUAUUACGAAUAGGAUUAAAUUAUGCUAUGCUAACUACACUAGCAGGUAUUUCAUAAUUCUUCUCUGUUGUUGUAUUCAUGAUUUGUGGUAUUUAUAAUGAAGUACAAGUCAUGGUUGUUGUUGCCAUUCAUUGGCCAAUUGGUGCAGAAUAUUCUUGAAUAACAGAAAAAAGGAUAAGUAUCCUGGGUGGUUAUACCAAAAUGUGGAUAAGGUGGUGAGAUUGCUUUUCACAAUUGACAAUCUUACCCUGCAUUCCUUUACUCGUAAUCUCUGAGGUAUGUUGGCUUAUUGACUAUCCUCAUGGGCCUACUAUGUGCUGGUAUAGUAUUUCUAUCAUUAUCCAUCGUUGGAAAACCAACCUUUUCCUCAAGGUUGGACAAUUAAAAAAAAUAGAAAUAGGGGUAGGGUUAAAAAAAGCAUGAGUGAAGUUGCUUUGUUUGUGGGAUGGUUUGGGCCCUGACAAUGACAACCCUAAGGGUUAUCAACAUCGUGAAUGGCGAGAAGGUUGGGUGGUGACCUAUAUCACAGAGCAUUGAUCCUACCCUUGUGCCUUUUCUUUGCUUGGUUGUGGCUCUUGGAAGCACUAGUAGCUCUAACUUCUGCUCCAAUGGGUGCAGGCCACGAAGGGAGCUCACCAAAUUGAAGAGAUGAUGCUGUUGUUGCAUGGUCAGAAGAAGAAGAAGCAACAAGAGGGAGUGAAAGUUGUGAACGAUGAACUGUACGGCUAGGACCAUGACAACUGAACACCACUGUCAAUGAAGCGCAGACCUGCGUCAGCCCUGGUGGUGGUGGAAGCAGUGGCUUUGGUGGAGGCUGUGGCUUCAAUGGAACCGUGGUGGUGGUGGAUAUGGUGGUGGGGGUGAUGGUGGCAGAUAUAGUGGUCGUGGAAGUGAGGCAAGGGUUUGGGAAAGGGAGGAGCCAAGGGGCAGAGGACGGUGUUGCGAGACAACAUGCAGGGCAUCACGAAACCCGACGUCAAGAGAAUCAAUGGCAUAUUCUAAGAAAAAACCCGCAAAGUCCUUAAGAACUUUCUAGAGAAUUUUAUUUGCAAUGUUGAUACGUACACCGAGCACAUGUUAGGAGAAAGAUGGUUACCAUUAUGGAUCUUGUUGAUGCUCGCAAGAGGCAGGUCAGGGCUCUCUAUGAUUUUGGUGCUCGUGGUGGUGGGUAUAAUCGUGAUGGAGGAUUGUGGCUUGGGCCAUAAGGCACCCCACAGGGAGUCAUCACCUUCAUCAACGCACGCUCCUCCGCUAAAAUCUGCGACUUCUACAUGGAUAUUUGUGUCCAGUUUCGGGUGUGAGGGAGGAGAUGAUGGAUGAAGAGUUUCCAUGGCACCGCACAAGCCUAACAAGCGGUUCUAAGUACUCACAAAAUAGGGAUUGAACUGGGUGUUCAUAAGAAGGUAGGUGAUGAAAUAGAAGGGAAGAAACCUGUGGGGGGUAGAAUUACUUUUUGUUGUAAGUCCUCUUAACUUUACAAAAUACAAAUAUAAAAUUCAAACUCCUUAAUCUUAAAUCUUAAUUUUCACUUUUACACGCUAGUCCUUACUCUGUUAUUUACCUUUCGUUGUUGCUUCCUUCUUAGAGACCAAACCAUGAACUGACCUGUUUAUGUUUUUUUGGUGAACCUAAACAAGUUUUCCCCAAAUUUUUAAUAUUUAUUUAAGAGAAACAAAAUAAGGAGAUAUAUUAUUUGUGGACCUGAACAAGUUUUCCCCAAAUUUGAGUGAAUGGAGAAGAAAAGUGAAUUCUUUUUAUUUUUUUAGAACAUCAAACAACUCUCUAGAAGAUUAAAAAUAAAUAAAAAUAAUUUAUAUGAAGAAAAAAAAACUAUGGAGUAACAAAAAUUUUAAUUUAAAUUUAAUUUUAAUCAAUAUAAAAAUGAUUUUAGUAUAAUUUAUUUAUUUAUAUAUCUACAUAUUGAAAUAAGAGGAGAGAAUUUUGUUCACUUCGUCCUUCCUUAUUUAUCUCUAUUCAAACAUUAUAUUUUUUUACUCUAUUUUUCUUUUACUUGUAUCUUUUCCAUUUCUUUCUUCUCUUUUUUUUUUCCAUUUUUAAUUGUAAUGGAGCAUUAGGAACAAAACUAUACUUUUGUAUUUUGUGUAAAUUUUAAAAUGGAUUAACAUUUCAGUUUAAUGAUACUGGGGCCAAUUAAUUUAGCAAUUUCCUUUGAAGAAUUCAAGAUUUUGUUAAUUAAGAAUGUUAGACAGAAUACAAAUUAACGUUGUUUUGCAUCAGCUACACGAGAUUUUGUGUUAUUUUUUAUCAUUUAAAUUAGUACAGUAAAACAUUUUUCUUGAUGACUUUCGUAUAAUUUGUUAUUAAUUUAUUUCAAUAAAUCUCAGAAUUAAAUUUAUGAUAAAUUCUCUUAUGAUAAGCAUCCUCCUUAAACUAACACAUUUGAGAUUAACUUUCAGUUUCCAUCACUAGUUUGACUUCUGCAUGUGACAACCUAUCUUAUUAAUAAACCAUAGACCAUGUCCGAAGGCUCUUCGCUAUGCAAAGGUAUGGGGGAGGGAUGUUGUACGCAGCCUUACCUUUGCAUAUGCAAAGAGACUGUUUCCGGAUUCGAACCCAUGACCAACAAGUCACCAAGGCACAACUUUACCGCUGCACCAGGGUUCGCCCUCUCUACAAGUAGAGCAUGACUUGUCAAAAAAUAGUAUCUUUUAUAGUAAUUAUUUAGACAAGUACAAUUAAUAAUUGAUGUCUUUUUAAUCAAGUGAUUUAGAAUUGAAAUCUUGAUUAAUCAUUAAAUAAGUAAUACAUUAUAUUGAGAAAAAAAAAUAUUUUAUAUGUAUUUAUGAUUUCUAAUAAAAAUUAAUCACUGUUUUCGUACCAAAAACUAUUUCGUAUUAAUAUUAUCAUUAGAAAAUAAUAACAUCCUUGAAAAAAAGUACAAAAGUACAGUAUUUGUUUUUCUAUUAUUUAAAUCUGUAAGAAUUUGUAAUACCAACUACGCAUCAAGGUAGGUAGAUCAUCGUGUGCUUCAUCUCUUAGUAAGAAUCUGCGGGCAUGCAUGCAGCUCUAGCCUCGAUCUUUUCUCCCAUGAAACUAAAGAAUGCAAAAUCCAGAUGCUAGCUUGCGAACCAGGUUUAAUUUGGUACACAGUUAUUUAUUUGGCUAGCUAGCUAAUCCUGGCAAUAUAUAUAUAGACCAUAGUGCUAGCCAAUUUAAAUUUGUGAGUUGCAUUCGAAGCUUGAAACUAGCUAGCUACUUAAAAAGAGUAAAUCAUCAAUCAAAUUCAUUUAGUUAAGAUGGGCAAGUUUGUUGGGUUGUUCCUGCUGGUUUUGGUCAGUGUGGCCGUUGCUGAAUACGACAACGGUUAUCCUGAACAUGAAAACGAGAAAAAUGGCCCAUGCGGCAAGUUUAGCACACUUAGAAUUUUGACGCAUAAACUGCGUCACUGCGAAAAGGCUGCACGAGAUGCGUGGGCUCCUGUUUCUUCACAGUGCUGCAAUGACCUUGUAGAAGUAAGCAUCCCUUGCCUCUAUGCUGUUUUCUCCUCUGAUGCUUUCAAGAGAGUUGGUGUUGAUCCCAGAGUCGCAAUCACUAUUCCCCAUCGUUGCCAUUUCGCCAACAAGCCAUAGACCACAACUUACCUACCUAUCAUAAAUGAAAACAUAUUUUUCAGGUAUAUAUAUGAGCAUAUAUCUAUCAAGAAUAAUUAUUUAUAUUUCAAAAACUUUAUCUAGAAGCUGAUAAAUUGUUAUAUUUCUAUACUGAACUAAUUAAAUUCAUCACAUUUUUGGCUGUUAUAAAGUAGCAUAUGCUGAUUCAUUGUUUUCUCUAAUGUAAUUGCAGCUUGUAGAUGGCUGAGAACGUUGGUUAUGGUUACGCAACCUGAGGUUUUUACAAUUCGUCAAAGCUUCAGGAUACAGUAGUCUGUGUUGUGUACUGUAUGUUUGUUGUCCGUUAAUAAUUUGAGCUUGUUAUCAAGGCUCACAAAUAAAUUACCUUGUAAUGUACAAUUUUAUUCUCUAUCAAAUAAAUUCACGUUUUCUUAAAAUAUAUCUUUUUGGUUGUUUCGAAUUUAAUUUUAUUUGGAUGAAUUGGUGUAUCUUAGAGAAUAUGAGUGUGUUUGAGUAAACUAUGGAAAAUCUUAAAAUUUAAUUUGUUUGCAAAUGAAUCUCGACCCUAUGUUUGUGUAAACAUUGGUCCGUUUGAUGUGUGCAUUAGAACAACUAUUAUAGUAUAUUCCACAACAACUCAAACAUGUAUUACAUUCAUUUUCCACAACAACUCAAACAUAUAUGCACUACAUUGUUGGUUUGCGACUGUGCUGAGGACUUUCUGCAUUGAACUAUUCACCAUAUAGUUUCCUCGGCCUAGCUGCAUAAUCUUGUGCAUAUUAUCAUUCAGUGUAUAGAUAAUUUUUAGUUUUACUAUUAUUUGGUGGACUCUGCAAUGUUACAUGAGAUUUAAGAAUUUUAAUAAGUAUUUUCUCUUAUGAUACAAUUUUUAAAAACUCAAAAUUGCAUUUGAUAAUUAUCUAAUUAACAAUUCAAAAGAACUUUGAAGGAUAGUUGUUUAUACAACUAUUAUUUACAUGUCGAUUUUUCAACAAUAAAAUUGUAUAAGAACUUAUUCUUAAGUUUAAGAAUCCUAUAUACAAGGAUAUAUGCUCUAUGUUCUUAACUUUCCCACUAAAGAUAACAACUAAGAUAAUAUGACUUCGCUAGCUGUCCAAAAAAAAAAAAAAAGAUAACACCAUGAUGACUUCAUAAAUAACAAAUAAGAUAACAUGAUUUGAUUAAUUACAGAAUAACUAAUUAUAGAACCACAACAACGACGAGUCUUGUCUUACCCAACGUUGAAAUGGACCAAAACAACGACGGGUCUUCGCCUACCCGUCGUUGAAAUGGACCCCAACAACGACGGGUUCUUCAACAUGUGCAUUGUCGAAUCAUUUUUUAAAACGUCUGUUGUUAUAUAGGCAUUGACGUCUGACGUUGUAUUCUGACCUUACAAAGAUGGGUCCUACUAUGAUCAAUGUCGUUGUUGUCGACAUACAACGACAUCUGGAACAAAGACGGUGUGGGGCCCGUCGUAGAUACUGGUUUUCAACCGAUGUAGAAGCUUCUUUUUGUAGUUGUGCCAGGAUCGACUAUCCUGUUAAUUAACAAAUCUUUUAGACUUUUACAUCAUGAUGAAGUAGUAAAGUAAAGUGAAAGUAGGUAGAAUUUAGAUUAAAAUUUAGGGGGUGUAAAAAAAGAAUAUCUUCUCGCUUUAAUAAUUAAUAAUGUAAAUUGAAAAUAAUGUUGCUUGAUACUACCAAAAAAUUUAACUACCAGAAAAAUAUUUUCUUCCCAAGCUUGACUUGAAAAUGGUGAAAAGAUAAUGUUAAAGUGUUUCACUUCGUCUUGUUUUCUUUUUCUGUUUGUUUUUUAUCUUCAAGAUGUGUUAAAAGCUAAAUUAUGGCCCCUUAUAUAUUAUCUAAAUUAUAUCUCAAUCAAUACUUGUUUUUCUAAUGGUAUGGUUAUGGUUGUUGAGAGUUUUAGCAUUUUUCUUAUUAAAGGUAAAAAUUUUAUUUAGACGUUGAGUGUAAAUAAAAAAAAGGAAAUGGAGAGGAUAAAGGUAGGCUAAAAUUUUUAAUAUUUGUUUGAAAGAAAAAAAAAAGGUAAGGAGAAAUUUUUUUGGGGACAUAAAUCCGACCCAUCCCCCCUCCCCCGGGAGAAAAGUUUUUUUUCUUUUUUUCCAAUAAACGUGAUUGUUUCCAAUUUUCAUUGAGUGUGAUUCAAUCGUGAGGAUUGAGGAGCUCAAGAAGCAACAAGGAGAGGUGACAAAGUGAAGACUAGCAUAUAAAAGUAAAAAUCAUGAUUAAAGAUUAAGGAGUUUGAAUUUUAUAUUUGUAUUUUGUAAAGUUAAGGAGACUUACAACAAAAAGUAAAUUUUUUUGUUAUAUAUAUAAAAUUAGAAAAACAGAUAAAGCAAUGGAUAAUUUGUUCCAUGGGGUGUGAGCUUUGUCAUUUACAAGAUUUCAAACUAUAGGAAUUAAAAAAAUAUUAAAAUAUAAAUUAUAUAAAUUAAAAAAUCAGUUUCAAACUAUAAAAAAUAAAAGAGAAUUAAAAUCUAAAUGAUAAAGAUUGAAAAACACUUUCAAAUUAUAAGAACUAAAAGAUAUAAAUUAUGAAACUAUAGAAAACAAAUGAGUAACUAAACCUAUUUAUUUUAAGUGUAGAUGCAAAGUAACUUAGUAAGUUUCAGGGGACGAUUGCCCCUAUAUUGAAAUAUGUAAUUUGGGCCCUCCUCGAACUAGAUGAUGAUAUGUUGUAUAUUAUUAACUAAUUGGUAAGUGCACCAAUUCAUCCAAGCAGUAAAGUAAAACGGAAAUUCGAGUGUUAGAGUCCACAAGGAUUUUGUUUGUACUUGGAGUUGUGUCUAUCCAAUUUUCAAGCAAUAAUUGAAUUGAUUUAAAUAAUUGUGAUACGAAAUAGCAAAAAUAAAUUGACAGAAAAUUAAAAUAAUUAUCUAGCACGUGCAAGGGAAGAACAACAAACACUUGAAGCGGUAAAAUGAGGACUGAUACAGAAUACGAAUGUGUUGGAGUUUAGCCUACCAAAACUAUUCUUGAUGUAAUGUUAAUGAUUUUUCUCUAUUUAAUAUUAAUCAAAUUAUCACCUACAUCUACUCCAAUCAUGAUUCCUCAUAAGAAACAGUUUAUUUUACCUAAUUUCUCUCCUAAUUCCUUAAGAGAAUAAACCGGUUAAAUUAUAUUAUUAGUAGAGAUGCAUACAACAUGCUAAAUAGCACCAAUCUAUCCCUAGAGAUGAAUUAUUUGGAAGCCAUUUUCCAGUCCUUAAGAGAUGAACAUUUUCCAAUGCCUAAACCCUCAAACAUAGCAUGAAUAUGGGUGAUCAAACCACACACAUGAGAAUAAACACAUAAAAGAGAUAAUGAAAUUGAAAUAACAUUAAAUAGAUAGUAAGAGUCUUUACAUCAAGAGUGUUUGGUUGUUAAACUCCCAACAAUAGGUGAUUCAGUCUCUCAUUAUCAUGAAAGACUUUACAAUUGCAAGAGGAUGAUGGAGAGUAAAGAAGAAUGGAGAUGGAGGAAAGGAAUGACUCCUAAUGAUUGAUUUCUCUUAUUCCUGCACGAACCCUAGCCUUUGCUCUCCGUGAAUCUGAAUAAUUUGGUGAAUGACUGAAUAAUAUGUUUCCACCUUCCUUUUCUCCUUUAAAACAUAGCUCUGUUCUGUUAUUUUUUGCGACCUCGCGCUAAGUAGGAUACUCACGAUAAGCGAAGAGUAAGUGGUCAUGCGUUAAGCGCGCCUUCACUGAUAUCAGGUUUCUCCAUGUGACUUCUUUGUACAAAACGAGUAUUGCCCCGCUGAGCGAUUGCAUCGUGUUGGGCACAAAACGAGAGUUUCCCUAUCUUUAAUUUCUCUUCCAUGCUUUAUUUUGUGUUUCUACAACAAAUACACCACCAAAACAGUAUAAAUUCACCAAUUUAAACACCUAUUAGACAAAAACUUGGAUGAUGUCGAAAUUCUAAUUAUUCACACAAAAAGAAGUAAUAAAAAAGUAAAAUUUGACAAUUUUUAUUAACUUAAUUACAAGAUAUACUUAUGCACGACCGUUAUCAUAUAUCGAUUGUUGUUUUGCAUAAACCACACUAGAUUCUUGUUUUCUAAAUAUACAACAAUAAAACCUUAUUCUUAACAAAAAACAAAGAAGGGUGUUGGAAUUAAAAGGGCAACCAAUCAGAUUUUGUCUAUAUUUUUAUGCAUUUAAAUUCAUACAACUAAAAUUUUUUCUUGAUUUAUUGUGACCUUUGUAUAAUUUGUUAUAAAUUUAUUUAAAUAAAUCUCAGAAUUAAAUUUAUAAAUAAUGAAAUUCUCUUAUGAAAAACAUCCUCCUUAAACAAACAAGCACAUUUGAGAUAAACUUAAGUUUUCAAGACUAGUUUGACUUCUGUGACAACCUCCGAACCUCCUUCAUUAUUUAUCUUAUUAAUAAACCAUGGACCGUCUAAGUAUAGCAUGACGUUUCACAAAAUAGCAUCGUUGAAAAAGUAUUUAUUUUUCGAUUCUUUAUAUAUAUAUAAGAAGAAAGCCUCCAUAAGUAAGACAUAUAGGCUGUUGAGUAAGAUAUUGUAAUACCAACUACGUACCAAGGCUGUGCAGUGCUUCCUGAUUCAAAAUAUUCUCCGGCCUGCUUUCUUCUCUACGGUAAGAAUCUGCGGGCAUGAAGCUGUAACCCUACCUUCUCCCAUCAAUUUAAAGAAUGCCAAAUCCAGAUGCUUGUGAACAAGGUUUUGUGCAUAGUUUACUAGUUUAUCUUGCUAAUCUAGCAGUAUAUAUAGAGCAUGGUGCAAGGCAAUUUUUGUGAGUUGUAUUUCAAGCUUGAAGCUACUUAAAAAGAGUAAAUCAUCAAUCAAAUUCAUUUAGUUAAGAUGAGCAAGUUCGUUGGUGUGUUCCUGCUGCUUUUGAUCACUGUGACCGUUGCUGAAUACGACCACAGUUAUCCUGAACAUGAAAACGAGAAAAAUGGUCCAUGCGGCAAGUUUGGCACACUUAGAAUUUUGACGCAUAAACUGCGUCACUGCGAAAAGGCUGCACGAAAUGCAUGGGUUCCUGUUUCUUCACAGUGCUGCAAUGACCUUGUAGAAGUAAGCAUCCCUUGCCUCUAUGCUGUUUUCUCCUCCGAUGCUUUCAAGAGAGUUGGUGUUGAUCCCAGAGUCGCAAUCACCAUUCCCCAUCGUUGCCAUUUCUCCAACAAGCCAUAGACCACAACUUACCUACCUACCAUAAAUGCCAACAUAUUUUUCAGGUAUAUAUAUGAGCAUAUAUCUAUCAAGAAUAAUUAUUUAUAUUUCAAAAACUUUAUCCGCAAGCUGAUAAAUUGUUAUAUUUCUAUACUGAACUAAUUAAAUUAAACAUUUAU